CUUGUCUCAAAGAUUAAGCCAUGCAUGUCUAAGUAUAAGCAAUCUAUACGGUGAAACUGCGAAUGGCUCAUUAAAUCAGUUAUCGUUUAUUUGAUAGUACCUUACUACAUGGAUACCUGUGGUAAUUCUAGAGCUAAUACAUGCUAAAAACCUCGACUUCGGAAGGGGUGUAUUUAUUAGAUAAAAAACCAAUGCCCUUCGGGGCUCCUUGGUGAUUCAUAAUAACUUCUCGAAUCGCAUGGCCUUGCGCCGGCGAUGGUUCAUUCAAAUUUCUGCCCUAUCAACUUUCGAUGGUAGGAUAGUGGCCUACCAUGGUGGCAACGGGUAACGGGGAAUUAGGGUUCGAUUCCGGAGAGGGAGCCUGAGAAACGGCUACCACAUCCAAGGAAGGCAGCAGGCGCGCAAAUUACCCAAUCCCAAUUCGGGGAGGUAGUGACAAUAAAUACUGAUACGGGGCUCUUUCGGGUCUCGUAAUUGGAAUGAGUACAAUUUAAAUCCCUUAACGAGGAACAAUUGGAGGGCAAGUCUGGUGCCAGCAGCCGCGGUAAUUCCAGCUCCAAUAGCGUAUAUUAAAGUUGUUGCAGUUAAAAAGCUCGUAGUUGAACCUUGGGUCUGGCUGGCCGGUCCGCCUCACCGCGUGCACUGGUCCGGCCGGACCUUUCCUUCUGGGGAACCCUAUGGCCUUCACUGGCUGUAGGGGGAACCAGGACUUUUACUGUGAAAAAAUUAGAGUGUUCAAAGCAGGCCUUUGCUCGGAUACAUUAGCAUGGAAUAAUAGAAUAGGACGUGUGGUUCUAUUUUGUUGGUUUCUAGGACCGCCGUAAUGAUUAAUAGGGAUGGUCGGGGGCGUCAGUAUUCAGCUGUCAGAGGUGAAAUUCUUGGAUUUGCUGAAGACUAACUACUGCGAAAGCAUUCGCCAAGGAUGUUUUCAUUAAUCAGUGAACGAAAGUUAGGGGAUCGAAGACGAUCAGAUACCGUCGUAGUCUUAACCAUAAACUAUGCCGACUAGGGAUCGGACGGUGUUUUUUUGAUAACCCGUUCGGCACCUUACGAGAAAUCAAAGUUUUUGGGUUCUGGGGGGAGU
Molecule: ribosomal RNA, 1084 nt
Filed under: Polytolypa hystricis
Lineage: Eukaryota; Fungi; Ascomycota; Eurotiomycetes; Onygenales
Description: SSU rRNA
Rfam family: Eukaryotic small subunit ribosomal RNA
Source: RNAcentral